CGGUUCUGCGCAGAGCUGCGAGCAGGAGCACGCCAUGGCCGGAUCUGCCCCCUCCAUGGACGCCCCUUGCUGUUCCCUGCGCCCGGCUCUCUCUAUCCAGCGCGUCCCAUUUUCUUCCAUGGAAAACCAACAGCGAGCCCCCUUCCUCGCUGUUCGUCGUGGUGCCCGCCGGCUGUUCGGCAAAAUGCGCAGGAAGCCGCGCGCUGCAGCAGCCCUCCCGUUCGAUCUCCACUCCCCUCGUCGCGUGUCGUCGCUCUCGUGCUCGCUGCGCAGCCCCAUCCGCAACGCCGUCGAAAACCGUGC
This 303-nucleotide unclassified non-coding RNA is filed under the name Zea mays. RNAcentral describes it as "misc RNA Zm00001eb032710". Lineage: Eukaryota; Viridiplantae; Streptophyta; Magnoliopsida; Poales; Poaceae. The record is from RNAcentral.